UACGUAGGGUGCGAGCGUUGUCCGGAAUUACUGGGCGUAAAGAGCUCGUAGGCGGCUUGUCGCGUCGACUGUGAAAACUUGGGGCUCAACCCCAAGCUUGCAGUCGAUACGGGCAGGCUAGAGUUCGGUAGGGGAGACUGGAAUUCCUGGUGUAGCGGUGAAAUGCGCAGAUAUCAGGAGGAACACCGAUGGCGAAGGCAGGUCUCUGGGCCGAUACUGACGCUGAGGAGCGAAAGCGUGGGGAGCGAACAGG
RNAcentral lists this ribosomal RNA (253 nucleotides) under uncultured bacterium. RNAcentral's name for it is "partial 16S ribosomal RNA". It matches the Rfam family "Bacterial small subunit ribosomal RNA", at positions 524 to 776 of the family's 1533-position model. The record is from RNAcentral.